CCUACGGGAGGCAGCAGUCGUGAAUAUUGCGCAAUGGAGGAAACUCUGACGCAGUGACGCCGCGUGCAGGAAGAAGGUUUUCGGAUUGUAAACUGCUUUUGACAGGGAAGAAAAAAGACAGUACCGGUAGAAUAAGCUACGGCUAACUACGUGCCAGCAGCCGCGGUAAUACGUAGGGAGCAAGCGUUAUCCGGAUUUAUUGGGUGUAAAGGGUGCGUAGUCGGGGAAGAAAGUUAGUUGGGAAAUCCCGCGGCUUAACUGAGGAACUGCAACUAAAACUCCUUCCCUUGAGUGCUGGAGAGGAAGGUGGAAUGCAUGGUGUAGCGGUGAAAUGCGUAGAGAUUAGGAGGAACACCGGUGGCGAAGGCGGCUUUCUGGACAGUAACUGACGUUGAGGCACGAAAGUGUGGGGAGCAAACAGGAUUAGAUACCCCAGUAGUC
Molecule: ribosomal RNA, 441 nt
Filed under: uncultured bacterium
Lineage: Bacteria
Description: partial 16S ribosomal RNA
Rfam family: Bacterial small subunit ribosomal RNA
Source: RNAcentral